Molecule: long non-coding RNA, 308 nt
Organism: Homo sapiens (human)
Lineage: Eukaryota; Metazoa; Chordata; Mammalia; Primates; Hominidae
Source: Ensembl
GAUGGAUUGGAGGCUCUAAAACAAGCUGAGAUAAUGAGCUAAAAGGUUUUACAGCUCCUCCUGCCAAUCUCUCUUCUCUUCAAGACCCAGGAAUUGGGCCUGCAGUAUUCCUCCUUGGUGGGUCACCAAUAGGCACCCUGUGCAGAAGGCUGAGGCAGAAGGAUGGUUGAAAGCAAGGCCAAGAUUUCCAUGUGCAGAAAGUCUUGCAAAUGGGACUGCUCCCUCAGUGCCCUCUCUCUCCCUUAAAUCAUUUGUAACAUUAUGUAUGCAUGUUGGAAACAAUGGUAUCUCCCCAGCUUCCCCGUUAA